ACGAUGCAGAUAACUUAUAGUACAGUGAGUAUGAAUGAUAAU
This 42-nucleotide non-coding RNA is filed under the name Trypanosoma brucei brucei. Lineage: Eukaryota; Euglenozoa; Kinetoplastea; Trypanosomatida; Trypanosomatidae. The record is from RNAcentral.